RNAcentral lists this ribosomal RNA (467 nucleotides) under uncultured bacterium. RNAcentral describes it as "partial 16S ribosomal RNA". It matches the Rfam family "Bacterial small subunit ribosomal RNA", at positions 28 to 507 of the family's 1533-position model. The record is from RNAcentral.
GAUGAACGCUGGCGGCGUGCUUAACACAUGCAAGUCGAACGGAAAGGCUCCUGCUUGCAGGGGUACUCGAGUGGCGAACGGGUGAGUAACACGUGGGUGAUCUGCCCUGCACUUCGGGAUAAGCCUGGGAAACUGGGUCUAAUACCGGAUAGGACCACAUUUUGGAUGGUGUGGUGGAAAGUUUUUCGGUGUGGGAUGAGCUCGCGGCCUAUCAGCUUGUUGGUGGGGUAGUGGCCUACCAAGGCGUCGACGGGUGGCCGGCCUGAGAGGGUGUACGGCCACAUUGUGACAGUGAUACGGCGCAGACUCCUACGGGAGGCAGCAGAGUGGAAUAUUGUACAAAGUGGGCAAGCCUGAUGCAGCGACGCCGCGUGGGGGAGGACGGCCUUCUGGGUGUAAACUCCUUUCGCGAGGGACGAAGCGUGUUUGUGACGGUACCGGGUGAAGAAGCACCGGCUAACUACGUG